UACGUAGGUGGCAAGCGUUGUUCGGAAUUACUGGGCGUAAAGCGCGCGUAGGCGGCUUUGUAAGUUAGAGGUGAAAGCCCGGGGCUCAACUCCGGAAUUGCCUUUAAGACUGCAUCGCUAGAAUCCGGGAGAGGUGAGUGGAAUUCCGAGUGUAGAGGUGAAAUUCGUAGAUAUUCGGAAGAACACCAGUGGCGAAGGCGGCUCACUGGACCGGUAUUGACGCUGAGGUGCGAAAGCGUGGGGAGCAAACAGG
This 253-nucleotide ribosomal RNA is filed under the name uncultured bacterium. Its description in RNAcentral is "partial 16S ribosomal RNA". It matches the Rfam family "Bacterial small subunit ribosomal RNA", at positions 524 to 776 of the family's 1533-position model. The record is from RNAcentral.